GGGCGGAAGCUACCAUGCAGUCGAACGGUAACAGGAAGCAGCUUGCUGCUUUGCUGACGAGUGGCGGACGGGUGAGUAAUGUCUGGGAAACUGCCUGAUGGAGGGGGAUAACUACUGGAAACGGUAGCUAAUACCGCAUAACGUCGCAAGACCAAAGAGGGGGACCUUAGGGCCUCUUGCCAUCGGAUGUGCCCAGAUGGGAUUAGCUAGUAGGUGGGGUAACGGCUCACCUAGGCGACGAUCCCUAGCUGGUCUGAGAGGAUGACCAGCCACACUGGAACUGAGACACGGUCCAGACUCCUACGGGAGGCAGCAGUGGGGAAUAUUGCACAAUGGGCGCAAGCCUGAUGCAGCCAUGCCGCGUGUAUGAAGAAGGCCUUCGGGUUGUAAAGUACUUUCAGCGGGGAGGAAGGGAGUAAAGUUAAUACCUUUGCUCAUUGACGUUACCCGCAGAAGAAGCACCGGCUAACUCCGUGCCAGCAGCCGCGGUAAUACGGAGGGUGCAAGCGUUAAUCGGAAUUACUGGGCGUAAAGCGCACGCAGGCGGUUUGUUAAGUCAGAUGUGAAAUCCCCGGGCUCAACCUGGGAACUGCAUCUGAU
This 600-nucleotide ribosomal RNA is filed under the name Escherichia coli. RNAcentral describes it as "bacterial SSU rRNA". It matches the Rfam family "Bacterial small subunit ribosomal RNA", at positions 40 to 631 of the family's 1533-position model. Lineage: Bacteria; Pseudomonadati; Pseudomonadota; Gammaproteobacteria; Enterobacterales; Enterobacteriaceae. The record is from RNAcentral.